UACGUAGGUGACCAGCGUUGUCCGGAUUUACUGGGCGUAAAGAGCGCGCAGGCGGUCGUUCAAGUCGAGUGUGAAAGCCCCCGGCUCAACUGGGGAGGGUCACUCGAUACUGAUCGACUUGAAGGCAGGAGAGGGAAGCGGAAUUCCCGGUGUAGUGGUGAAAUGCGUAGAUAUCGGAAGGAACACCAGUGGCGAAGGCGGCUUCCUGGCCUGUUCUUGACGCUGAGGCGCGAAAGCUAGGGGAGCAAACGGG
Molecule: ribosomal RNA, 253 nt
Filed under: uncultured bacterium
Lineage: Bacteria
Description: partial 16S ribosomal RNA
Rfam family: Bacterial small subunit ribosomal RNA
Source: RNAcentral